GGGACACCGGUGACAGGUGGUGCAUGGUUGUCGUCAGCUCGUGUCGUGAGAUGUUGGGUUAAGUCCCGCAACGAGCGCAACCCUUAUUGUUAGUUGCUACGCAAGAGCACUCUAGCGAGACUGCCGUUGACAAAACGGAGGAAGGUGGGGACGACGUCAAAUCAUCAUGCCCCUUAUGUCCUGGGCCACACACGUACUACAAUGGUGGUCAACAGAGGGAAGCAAUACCGCGAGGUGGAGCAAAUCCCUAAAAGCCAUCCCAGUUCGGAUCGCAGGCUGCAACCCGCCUGCGUGAAGUUGGAAUCGCUAGUAAUCGCGGAUCAGCAUGCCGCGGUGAAUACGUUCCCGGGCCUUGUACACACCGCCCGUCACCAUGAGAGUCGGGAACACCCGAAGUCCGUAGCCUAACCGCAAGGGGGGCGCGGCCGAAGGUGGGUUCGAUAAUUGGGGUGAAGUCGUAACAAGGUAGCCGUAUCGGAAGGUGCGGCUGGAUCACCUC
Molecule: ribosomal RNA, 499 nt
Filed under: uncultured bacterium
Lineage: Bacteria
Description: bacterial SSU rRNA
Rfam family: Bacterial small subunit ribosomal RNA
Source: RNAcentral